This 1264-nucleotide ribosomal RNA is filed under the name uncultured Bdellovibrio sp. RNAcentral describes it as "bacterial SSU rRNA". It matches the Rfam family "Bacterial small subunit ribosomal RNA", at positions 45 to 1346 of the family's 1533-position model. The record is from RNAcentral. Lineage: Bacteria; Pseudomonadati; Bdellovibrionota; Bdellovibrionia; Bdellovibrionales; Pseudobdellovibrionaceae.
CGCUAUCAUGCAGUCGACGAGGUAGCAUACCUAGUGGCGCACGGGUGAGGAACGCGUGGAUAAUCUGCCAUUCAGUGGGGGAUAACUAUCCGAAAGGAUAGCUAAUACCGCAUAAGGCCACAGUGACUGCGGUCACAGGGGUUAAAGGAGUAAUUCGCUGAUUGAUGAGUCUGCGUGGGAUUAGCUAGUUGGUGAGGUAAUGGCUCACCAAGGCGACGAUCUCUAGCUGGUCUGAGAGGAUGGCCAGCCACACUGGAACUGAGACACGGUCCAGACUCCUACGGGAGGCAGCAGUAGGGAAUAUUGCACAAUGGGGGAAACCCUGAUGCAGCGACGCCGCGUGAGUGAUGAAGGCCUUCGGGUCGUAAAGCUCUGUUGUCCGAGACGAAAAAAAUGACGGUAUCGGGUGAGGAAGGACCGGCUAACUUCGUGCCAGCAGCCGCGGUAAUACGAGGGGUCCUAGCGUUGUUCGGAAUCAUUGGGCGUAAAGAGUAUGUAGGCGGCCUUGUAAGUCAGGUGUGAAAGCCCCGGGCUCAACCCGGGAAGUGCACUUGAUACUGCUUGGCUUGAAUGUUGGAGAGGAUAGUAGAAUUCCAGGUGUAGUGGUGAAAUACGUAGAUAUCUGGAGGAAUACCGGUGGCGAAGGCGGCUAUCUGGCCAAACAUUGACGCUGAGAUACGAAAGCGUGGGUAGCAAACAGGAUUAGAUACCCUGGUAGUCCACGCCGUAAACGAUGGGCACUUGGUGUUGGAGGUAUUGACCCCUUCAGUGCCGAAGCUAACGCGAUAAGUGCCCCGCCUGGGGAGUACGGCCGCAAGGUUAAAACUCAAAGAAAUUGACGGGGGCCCGCACAAGCGGUGGAGCAUGUGGUUUAAUUCGAUGCAACGCGAAAAACCUUACCUGGGCUCGAAAUGUAGUGGAAGACAGUAGAGAUAUUGUCGCCUUCGGGCCGCUAUAUAGGUGCUGCAUGGCUGUCGUCAGCUCGUGUCGUGAGAUGUUGGGUUAAGUCCCGCAACGAGCGCAACCCCUGUCUUUAGUUGCCAGCAUUCAGUUGGGCACUCUAAAGAGACUGCCGACGUUAAGUCGGAAGAAGGUGGGGAUGACGUCAAGUCCUCAUGGCCCUUAUGUCCAGGGCUACACACGUGCUACAAUGGUAGAUACAGANGGUUGCCNAACCGUAAGGGGAACCNAUCCCGUAAAGUCUAUCUAAGUNCAAAUNGAGNUCUGCACUCGACCUCAUGAAGGUGNAUCGCUAGUAAUCCCG